GACGAACGCUGGCGGCGUGCCUAAUACAUGCAAGUAGAACGCUGAAGGAGGAGCUUGCUUCUCUGGAUGAGUUGCGAACGGGUGAGUAACGCGUAGGUAACCUGCCUGGUAGCGGGGGAUAACUAUUGGAAACGAUAGCUAAUACCGCAUAAUAGUAGAUGUUGCAUGACAUUUGCUUAAAAGGUGCAAUUGCAUCACUACCAGAUGGACCUGCGUUGUAUUAGCUAGUUGGUGGGGUAACGGCUCACCAAGGCGACGAUACAUAGCCGACCUGAGAGGGUGGGCGGCAACACUGGGAAGGAAACACGGCCCAAACUCAGAGGGGGGGAGGAAGAAGGGAUUAUUGGGAAAGGGAGGAAAGUCGGACGGAGAAACGCGGGGGGAGGGAAGAAGGGUUUGGGAUAAAAAAGCUCUGUUGAAAGAGAAAAACGAGGGGGAGAGGGAAAAGUCCAAACGGGGACGGAAUCUAACCAGAAAGGGAGGGCAAACUACGUC
RNAcentral lists this ribosomal RNA (495 nucleotides) under uncultured bacterium. RNAcentral describes it as "partial 16S ribosomal RNA". It matches the Rfam family "Bacterial small subunit ribosomal RNA", at positions 28 to 507 of the family's 1533-position model. The record is from RNAcentral.